This 678-nucleotide ribosomal RNA is filed under the name uncultured fungus. RNAcentral describes it as "eukaryotic LSU rRNA". The stretch from base 292 to 446 matches the Rfam family "5.8S ribosomal RNA". Lineage: Eukaryota; Fungi. The record is from RNAcentral.
CAAGGUUUCCUGUAGGUGAACCUGCGGAAGGAUCAUUACUGAACGAAAUGGGUGGCAAGGCUGUCGCUGGCUUAAAUGAGCAUGUGCACGUCUUUUUGUCGCUUACUUCAUUCUCUCUUCCACCUGUGCACUCUUUGUAGACACUUGGGAUGUGAGAGAGGGGUUGGCAUUGAUUUGUCGGACUUCUCUUGAUAUUGAAAAUCUGGGUGUUUAUGUAUUUUUUGACAUACACGGUUGAAUGUCUAUAGAAUGAAAUUAUAGGCUCUUGUCAGCCUUUAAAUGAUAAAAUACAACUUUCAACAACGGAUCUCUUGGCUCUCGCAUCGAUGAAGAACGCAGCGAAAUGCGAUAAGUAAUGUGAAUUGCAGAAUUCAAGUGAAUCAUCGAAUCUUUGAACGCAUCUUGCGCUCCUUGGUAUUCCGAGGAGCAUGCCUGUUUGAGUGUCAUUAAAUAUCUCAAAACUCUUGUGCUUUUGUUGGCAUAGGACUUUUGGACAUUGGGAGUUGCCGGCUGCUGGUAAAGUAGUGGGCUCUUCUGAAAAGCAUUAGUUGAGGAGCUUUGCACUCUUAUUGGUGUGAUAAACUAUCUAUGCCAAGAGAUGCUUCAUGAUCCUCUGCCGUCUAACUGUCUUUAUAAGACAAUAUGAUAAACUUGACCUCAAAUCAGGUAGGACUACCC